RNAcentral lists this ribosomal RNA (447 nucleotides) under Xerocrassa derogata. RNAcentral describes it as "partial 16S ribosomal RNA". It matches the Rfam family "Bacterial large subunit ribosomal RNA", at positions 1808 to 2606 of the family's 2925-position model. The record is from RNAcentral. Lineage: Eukaryota; Metazoa; Mollusca; Gastropoda; Stylommatophora; Geomitridae.
CAAAAACAUAGCUAGAUGUAUUAUAUAUUUAGUUUUUUCUGCUCAAUGGUAAACUAAAUAGCCGCAGUACCCUGACUGUGCAAAGGUAGCAUAAUCAUUUGGCUUAUAAUUGAAGUCUGGCAUGAAGGAAUCAAUGGAUAACUACUGUCUUUUUGAAUUAACAGAAAUUACUUAAUAGGUGAAAAUACCUAUAUAUAGAUAAUAGACGAGAAGACCCUAGAAAUUUUAUAUAAAAUAAUAUAUAGGUAUUAUUGAUAUUUUGUUGGGGCGACAGAAUAACAGUUAACUUAUUUUAUUAGUUGGAACUAUAUAGUGAGAUAAAUUAAAUUACUCUAGGGAUAACAGCAUAAUUUAUUAAAGUUUGUGACCUCGAUGUUGGACUAGGGUAUAUAGUGUCUAGAAGAUAUUAUAGUUGGCUCUGUUCGAGCCGUGUUCCCUACGUGAUCU